GUUAGUAUGGCCUAGCUGGCUAACACACCCUGUCCCUUACCAACAUGGCUGUCUCUCAGAGGUUAGGAUGGCCUAGCUAGCUAACAUAUCCUGUAUCUUACCAACAUGGCUGUCUCUCAGAGGUUGGUAUCGCCUAGCUAGCUAACACCCUGUCCCUUACCGACAUGGCUGUCUCUCAGAGGUUAGGAUGGCCUAGCUAGCUAACAUAUCCUGUAUCUUACCAACAUGGCUGUCUCUCAGAGAAUGCUACUGGACAGAGACAGACACUCACUGUGCUGCUGCUGGGAACAGAAGAGGAGUUUCCAAGAUCUGACGCAGUAUGUAUUUCCGAGUGUUCACUCUAACGAAGAGAAGAAGAGGUGUGCUGGGAACCUUCCUCCUCUCCUUCCUCUCCCUCCUCCUCCUCUGUCCUACCAGGAAUGGGAUAGGAUCAACCCAGAGGAUUCAGAGGUCCCUAGCCUGGGCCUGGAAGGGCUUGGGCUGAGGACCACACCCUCUGCUGGAAACACAGAAAUAUGUAGCAAGACUCCUGAGCCUUUAUCCAUAGAGGAUGUGUGUCAACGCAACCCUUCAGUGGUAAGAG
RNAcentral lists this long non-coding RNA (583 nucleotides) under Salmo salar (Atlantic salmon). RNAcentral's name for it is "lncRNA (ENSSSAG00000054275.2, ENSSSAG00075054118.1)". The record is from RNAcentral. Lineage: Eukaryota; Metazoa; Chordata; Actinopteri; Salmoniformes; Salmonidae.